This 528-nucleotide ribosomal RNA is filed under the name Bacillus sp. A6(2015). RNAcentral's name for it is "bacterial SSU rRNA". It matches the Rfam family "Bacterial small subunit ribosomal RNA", at positions 103 to 616 of the family's 1533-position model. The record is from RNAcentral. Lineage: Bacteria; Bacillati; Bacillota; Bacilli; Caryophanales; Bacillaceae.
CGGGUGAGUAACACGUGGGUAACCUGCCCAUAAGACUGGGAUAACUCCGGGAAACCGGGGCUAAUACCGGAUAACAUUUUGAACCGCAUGGUUCGAAAUUGAAAGGCGGCUUCGGCUGUCACUUAUGGAUGGACCCGCGUCGCAUUAGCUAGUUGGUGAGGUAACGGCUCACCAAGGCAACGAUGCGUAGCCGACCUGAGAGGGUGAUCGGCCACACUGGGACUGAGACACGGCCCAGACUCAUACGGGAGGCAGCAGUAGGGAAUCUUCCGCAAUGGACGAAAGUCUGACGGAGCAACGCCGCGUGAGUGAUGAAGGCUUUCGGGUCGUAAAACUCUGUUGUUAGGGAAGAACAAGUGCUAGUUGAAUAAGCUGGCACCUUGACGGUACCUAACCAGAAAGCCACGGCUAACUACGUGCCAGCAGCCGCGGUAAUACGUAGGUGGCAAGCGUUAUCCGGAAUUAUUGGGCGUAAAGCGCGCGCAGGUGGUUUCUUAAGUCUGAUGUGAAAGCCCACGGCUCAACCGU